Molecule: long non-coding RNA, 633 nt
Organism: Sinocyclocheilus grahami
Lineage: Eukaryota; Metazoa; Chordata; Actinopteri; Cypriniformes; Cyprinidae
Exons: 4
Source: RefSeq, a predicted model, not a curated record
CUAUAAAUAAACGAAUGCUUGCCUUCCAAUUUAAUGUAUUGACAGUAUCAGUUUGUUUCUUCUGGGAUCCCUAAACAAUGGCAUUGCUAUCUUUCAUCUUUCAAACUCAUUUUGCCCCAUUUUAAUUAUGAUUUGACUUUUUCUUAAAUUUUGCUGUUUUUUUUAGUAUGCUCUACACGUUGUGUUGGGAGCCCCCUUUGACUUUACAUCUCAUGACUUUCCAAAAAUCAGGAGAUGGUGGGCACUAAUUCUUUUGGAGAACUUUGGGGUUGUCCCAGAAAGGACAGAAAACCUCCAGAAGACACUAGAGCUACAUGAAGAAUAAGCUACACCCAGCAGAAGUGAGGAGCUCACUAUAAUCAAACACAUGAAACCGGCUGUAAAAUGGAUACAUGCCAAUAGACAUGUGUUCAGGGGCCCUGUGGAAGAGCCUCUGUUCCUCAGAAUGGAAGAGGAUGACAAGGAAAAGGCCCUCCAAAAUCUCAUCAAAGAUGCGGAAGACUGCAGAGACCCACUCACAUUACAUUUUUCAUUCAGGGAAGACAUGGAGAUUUUUUUAGUUGAAUGCCAUGAAAAAAUGGGAUUAAAAUUGAAUUCUUCUUUUGAAGAGUGAAAAGUGUAAGACUUUCAAAA